RNAcentral lists this ribosomal RNA (465 nucleotides) under Vreelandella stevensii. Its description in RNAcentral is "partial 16S ribosomal RNA". It matches the Rfam family "Bacterial small subunit ribosomal RNA", at positions 338 to 795 of the family's 1533-position model. The record is from RNAcentral. Lineage: Bacteria; Pseudomonadati; Pseudomonadota; Gammaproteobacteria; Oceanospirillales; Halomonadaceae.
CCUACGGGUGGCAGCAGUGGGGAAUAUUGGACAAUGGGGGCAACCCUGAUCCAGCCAUGCCGCGUGUGUGAAGAAGGCCCUCGGGUUGUAAAGCACUUUCAGUGAGGAAGAACGCCUGGUGGUUAAUACCCAUCAGGAAAGACAUCACUCACAGAAGAAGCACCGGCUAACUCCGUGCCAGCAGCCGCGGUAAUACGGAGGGUGCGAGCGUUAAUCGGAAUUACUGGGCGUAAAGCGCGCGUAGGUGGCUUGAUAAGCCGGUUGUGAAAGCCCCGGGCUCAACCCGGGAACGGCAUCCGGAACUGUCAAGCUAGAGUGCAGGAGAGGAAGGUAGAAUUCCCGGUGUAGCGGUGAAAUGCGUAGAGAUCGGGAGGAAUACCAGUGGCGAAGGCGGCCUUCUGGACUGACACUGACACUGAGGUGCGAAAGCGUGGGUAGCAAACAGGAUUAGAUACCCGUGUAGUC